Long non-coding RNA from Solanum stenotomum, 316 nucleotides. RefSeq lists it as uncharacterized. The transcript is spliced from 2 exons. The record is from RefSeq and is a predicted model, not a curated record. NCBI's taxonomy places the organism in Eukaryota, Viridiplantae, Streptophyta, Magnoliopsida, Solanales, Solanaceae.
UCAUAACUCAUAUCCAUGAAACCUCACAAUCAUUUAGCUGAUAACUUGAAGCGGAAGAUAAUGUUGAACACUAAUCCGUACCUGCUGUCUGCUGAGUGCAUGGAUCUAAACUAUGAAGCCUCGACAUAUCUGUUUUUGAUGUUUAUUAUGAUACAUUACGGAUGCUUCUUGCUUGCUGAUGUUGAACAAUGUUCUCUUUUGCUUUAUCCAUGGUAUCUGUUAGUAUCAGACUUGUAGUUCUACUUUUGUACACAAAUUCUGUUUUGCUUGCUCUAUGAAUUAACGCCAUGGUUUCUGUCAAAUUUGUUAUUUUUUA